Molecule: ribosomal RNA, 468 nt
Filed under: uncultured bacterium
Lineage: Bacteria
Description: partial 16S ribosomal RNA
Rfam family: Bacterial small subunit ribosomal RNA
Source: RNAcentral
GACGAACGCUGGCGGCGUGCUUAACACAUGCAAGUCGAACGGAAAGGCCCUGCUUUUGUGGGGUGCUCGAGUGGCGAACGGGUGAGUAACACGUGAGUAACCUGCCCUUGACUUUGGGAUAACUUCAGGAAACUGGGGCUAAUACCGGAUAGGAGCUCCUGCUGCAUGGUGGGGGUUGGAAAGUUUCGGCGGUUGGGGAUGGACUCGCGGCUUAUCAGCUUGUUGGUGGGGUAGUGGCUUACCAAGGCUUUGACGGGUAGCCGGCCUGAGAGGGUGACCGGGCAACAUUGGGACGGGGUGACGGCCAGGCUUCCUACGGGAGGAAGCGGGGGGGAAUAUUGCACAAUGGGGGGAGGCCUGAUGCAGCAACGCGGGGUGCGGGAUGACGGCCUUCGGGUGGUAAACCGCUUUCGCCUGUGACGAAGCGUGAGUAACGGUAAUGGGUAAGGAAGCACCGGCUAACUACGU